CCCGCUGAACUUAAGCAUAUCAAUAAGCGGAGGAAAAGAAACUAACAAGGAUUCCCCUAGUAACUGCGAGUGAAGCGGGAAAAGCUCAAAUUUAAAAUCUGGCGGUCUUGCGGCCGUCCGAGUUGUAAUCUGGAGAAGCGUUUAUCCGCGUCGGACCGUGUACAAGUCUUCUGGAAGGGAGCGUCGUAGAGGGUGAGAAUCCCGUCUUUGACACGGACAACCGGUGCUUUUGUGAUGCGCUCUCGAAGAGUCGAGUUGUUUGGGAAUGCAGCUCAAAAUGGGUGGUAAAUUCCAUCUAAAGCUAAAUAUUGGCGAGAGACCGAUAGCGAACAAGUACCGUGAGGGAAAGAUGAAAAGCACUUUGGAAAGAGAGUUAAACAGUACGUGAAAUUGUUGAAAGGGAAACGUUUGAAGUCAGUCGCGUCGGCCGAGACUCAACCUUGCUUCUGCUCGGUGCACUUCUCGGUUGACGGGUCAGCAUCAAUUUUGACCAUUGGAAAAAGAUCAAGGGAAUGUGACAUCUUUGGAUGUGUUAUAGCCCUUGGUUGCAUACGAUGGUCGGGAUUGAGGAACUCAGCACGCCGCAAGGCCCGGGUUUUUAACCACGUACGUGCUUAGGAUGCUGGCAUAAUGGCUUUAAUCGACCCGUCUUGAAACACGG
This 661-nucleotide ribosomal RNA is filed under the name uncultured fungus. Its description in RNAcentral is "eukaryotic LSU rRNA". It matches the Rfam family "Eukaryotic large subunit ribosomal RNA", at positions 24 to 664 of the family's 3401-position model. Lineage: Eukaryota; Fungi. The record is from RNAcentral.